UGGGGAAUAUUGCACAAUGGGCGCAAGCCUGAUGCAGCCAUGCCGCGUGUGUGAAGAAGGCCUUCGGGUUGUAAAGCACUUUCAGCGAGGAGGAAGGUGGUGAGCUUAAUACGCUCAUCAAUUGACGUUACUCGCAGAAGAAGCACCGGCUAACUCCGUGCCAGCAGCCGCGGUAAUACGGAGGGUGCAAGCGUUAAUCGGAAUUACUGGGCGUAAAGCGCACGCAGGCGGUUUGUUAAGUCAGAUGUGAAAUCCCCGGGCUCAACCUGGGAACUGCAUUUGAAACUGGCAAGCUAGAGUCUCGUAGAGGGGGGUAGAAUUCCAGGUGUAGCGGUGAAAUGCGUAGAGAUCUGGAGGAAUACCGGUGGCGAAGGCGGCCCCCUGGACGAAGACUGACGCUCAGGUGCGAAAGCGUGGGGCAGCAAACAGGAUUAGAUACCCUGGUAGUCCACGCUGUAAACGAUGUCGAUUUGGAGGUUGUGCCCUUGAGGCGUGGCUUCCGGAGCUAACGCGUUAAAGUCGACCGCCUGGGGAGUACGGCCGCAAGGUUAAAACUCAAAGGAAUUGAC
RNAcentral lists this ribosomal RNA (569 nucleotides) under uncultured bacterium. RNAcentral describes it as "partial 16S ribosomal RNA". It matches the Rfam family "Bacterial small subunit ribosomal RNA", at positions 355 to 914 of the family's 1533-position model. The record is from RNAcentral.